Molecule: ribosomal RNA, 245 nt
Filed under: uncultured bacterium
Lineage: Bacteria
Description: partial 16S ribosomal RNA
Rfam family: Bacterial small subunit ribosomal RNA
Source: RNAcentral
GCGAGUGGCGAACGGGUGAGUAAUAUAUCGGAACGUGCCCAGUCGUGGGGGAUAACGUAGCGAAAGUUACGCUAAUACCGCAUACGAUCUAAGGAUGAAAGCGGGGGAUCGCAAGACCUCGCGCGAUUGGAGCGGCCGAUAUCAGAUUAGGUAGUUGGUGGGGUAAAGGCUCACCAAGCCAACGAUCUGUAGCUGGUCUGAGAGGACGACCAGCCACACUGGGACUGAGACACGGCCCAGACUCC